AUACGGAGGGUGCAAGCGUUGUCCGGAUUUAUUGGGUUUAAAGGGUGCGUAGGCGGUUUAUUAAGUCAGUGGUGAAAGUCUUCGGCUCAACCGGAGGACUGCCAUUGAAACUGAUAAACUUGAGUACAGUAGAGGUAGGCGGAAUUUAUGAUGUAGCGGUGAAAUGCAUAGAUAUCAUAAAGAACACCGAUAGCGAAGGCAGCUUACUAUGCUGUUACAGACGCUGAGGCACGAAAGCGUGGGGAGCGAACAGGAUUAGAAACCCCAGUAGUCC
This 274-nucleotide ribosomal RNA is filed under the name uncultured bacterium. RNAcentral describes it as "partial 16S ribosomal RNA". It matches the Rfam family "Bacterial small subunit ribosomal RNA", at positions 523 to 796 of the family's 1533-position model. The record is from RNAcentral.